RNAcentral lists this transfer RNA (69 nucleotides) under Chelonia mydas (Green sea turtle). It matches the Rfam family "tRNA". From Rfam's summary of the family: Transfer RNA (tRNA) molecules are approximately 80 nucleotides in length. Lineage: Eukaryota; Metazoa; Chordata; Testudines; Cheloniidae. The record is from Rfam by way of RNAcentral.
GGCAGUGUUGCCUAGUGGUUAGAGCACUGGACUGGGACUCAGACCUGGGUUCCAUUCCCAGCGCUGCCA